RNAcentral lists this ribosomal RNA (118 nucleotides) under Clostridiales bacterium. Lineage: Bacteria; Bacillati; Bacillota; Clostridia; Eubacteriales. The record is from RNAcentral.
GUUGGUGUUAAUUACGGUGAGGCUCCACCCGUUCUCCAUUCCGAACACGGCAGUUAAGCUCACUUGUGCCGACAAUACUUGGCCGGCGACGGCUCGGGAAGAUAGGUAAAUGCCAACA